AUGACAAGAACUUAUUUCAAUUAAAUUACUACUGACUGAUCAGGCGCAGCACAAACUCAGGAGCCGAAGUGUGCCAUAAACACUCCUAUCCCUGAGCCAGAAUAUAAAAAAAAACAAAAACAAAAAACAACCCAACUUAUUAGCUUAAAAAUAAAAAAAAAUCUGUGCCAAGUUAUAUAUACAUACAUUUGUCAUCAUUCAGGUUUUAGGGAUAGGGUCUGUACUUAUGUAGCUUAUCUAUGCCAACUGAUGCAGAAUGUAGGUUUUAUAGUCUAACCAAUAAUAUCCAUUUGUUCUUUUGUAUUAGGAACAGUUAUGUUUUGAGGAGCAAGAGACGAAUAACAUAAGCUGUGAUUAGGAAGUGUCAUGUUUAGGGAACAAAAGAUAAAAAAAAAAUGGAAGUAUUUUUAUCUGGUCUGGUAUUUGGAAGUCCCCAUCUCCCCUAGAGCCUGGAGAGAUAAAUUUAGCUUGACCCUAUGAUGAAAUGGAGGCUGAUAAAAUAUCUAGGACAAGUUUCUUUUGAUUCUUCCUAAUGUUUGCAUAUUAUAGUCAUCUUCAAUGACAUAAAAGGAUAUAUAUUGGAGGAAAACCCUAUAAAUGUAAUCAAUAUCAUAAACCUUCUCCAGCACAUAGUUACCUACUAAUACAUAAAAGAACACACACUUGUGAGAAACCCUAUGAAUAUAACCAGUGUGGUAAAGGCCUUUCACAACACAGUCAUCUCCUAACCCAGAAAAGAAUACACACAGAGCUGCCACCCAGCAGGAGCAGCAUGUGUGUGCAGCAUGCUUUUUGCCAUGAUUGUGUACUGGGUCCACCUGGCUUAAGCAGAAGGGAGCUAACCCAGCGUGUGGUUACAGUCAAUGCAGUCUGUCCUAUCCACAAAGUCCGUUUUAACCUCAACUACCUGAGUCAGCUACUGAACAACAAAAAGCAGAGAGUCUGCAUGGUGCAUUUGAGGAACUCAAGGAUGUUGGACAACAGAAGCACUCUAGAAGAGAGAGCUCAUCAAAGACUUGCAGAAGAGAUGCUGAAUACCCCUGACAGUUCUUUGAAGACCUUUCAGACAAGCCCUAUACCCUAGAGGACUAUGAUGUCUCUUUUGAGAGUGGCAUGCUCAUCAUUAAGCUGAGCGGAGAUCUAGGGAACUACACAGUCAACAAGCAGAGCCCAAAGAAGCAAAUCUGGCUGUCUUUCCCCUUCAGUGGCCCCAAGCACUAUGACUGAACUUGGAAGAACUGGGUGUACACCCAUGACAGCGUGUCUCUGUGUAAGCUGCUGGCCAGAGAGCUGACUGAAGCAUUAAGCACCAAAUUGGACUUGUCUUCAUUGGCCUAUUCUGGAAAAGGCACUUGAAUGCCUGCCAAGUUCAAAGACAUGAAAAACAUAUCAGGAGAAGACCCAGCCUCCUUCUGUAAUUGAUUGUCUGGUUUGCCAUGCCUGCUUCUGAGGAUAGUCACACUGUAUGUGACAGCUGUGAAAAAGUGUGUUACCUCGCCCUCUCCCCAAAAAUGCACACUGGAAAGGAACCCUAAGCAUGUAACCAGUGUGUUAGACUUUGCAUUUCUUAGUGGUCUCCAAAUACAUAAAAGAAUGCAUAUUGUGGAGGAGCUAGAGAAAUUACCCAAGGAGCUAAAGGGAACUGCAACCCUAUAGGUAGAACAACAAUAUGAACUAACCAGUACCCCGGAGCUCUUGACUCUAACUGCAUAUGUAUCAAAAGAUGGCCUAGUCGGCCAUCACUGCAAAGAGAGGC
RNAcentral lists this long non-coding RNA (1756 nucleotides) under Mus musculus (house mouse). RNAcentral's name for it is "long non-coding RNA chr17:38012973-38014729". The record is from RNAcentral. Lineage: Eukaryota; Metazoa; Chordata; Mammalia; Rodentia; Muridae.